RNAcentral lists this transfer RNA (73 nucleotides) under Dysgonamonadaceae bacterium. Its description in RNAcentral is "tRNA-Lys". It matches the Rfam family "tRNA". Rfam says of the family: Transfer RNA (tRNA) molecules are approximately 80 nucleotides in length. The record is from RNAcentral. Lineage: Bacteria; Pseudomonadati; Bacteroidota; Bacteroidia; Bacteroidales; Dysgonomonadaceae. RNAcentral also lists the same sequence under 1 other name.
GAUUCAUUAGCUCAGCUGGUAGAGCACAUCCCUUUUAAGGAUGGGGUCCUGGGUUCGAGCCCCAGAUGGAUCA